Molecule: ribosomal RNA, 253 nt
Filed under: uncultured bacterium
Lineage: Bacteria
Description: partial 16S ribosomal RNA
Rfam family: Bacterial small subunit ribosomal RNA
Source: RNAcentral
UACGUAGGGGGCAAGCGUUGUCCGGAAUCAUUGGGCGUAAAGCGCGCGUAGGCGGCCCGGUAAGUCCGUUGUGAAAGUCAAAGGCUCAACCUUUGAACGCCGAUGGAUACUGCCGGGCUAGAGUCCGGAAGAGGCGAGUGGAAUUCCUGGUGUAGCGGUGGAAUGCGCAGAUAUCGGGAGGAACACCAAUGGCGAAGGCAGCUUGCUGGGACGGUACUGACGCUGAGGCGCGAAAGCGUGGGGAGCAAACAGG